This 786-nucleotide ribosomal RNA is filed under the name bacterium enrichment culture clone 4-9. Its description in RNAcentral is "bacterial SSU rRNA". It matches the Rfam family "Bacterial small subunit ribosomal RNA", at positions 1 to 815 of the family's 1533-position model. The record is from RNAcentral.
UAGAGUUUGAUCCUGGCUCAGGACGAACGCUGGCGGCGUGCCUAACACAUGCAAGUCGAGCGGGGGACUUCGGUCCCCAGCGGCGAACGGGUGAGUAACGCGUGAGCAACCUGACCUUUUGAGGGGGAUAACAACCGGAAACGGUUGCUAAUACCGCAUAAGACCACGCUACCGCAUGGUAGAGGGGUCAAAGGAGCAAUCCGCAGAAGGAGGGGCUCGCGUCCCAUUAGAUAGUUGGUGAGGUAACGGCCCACCAAGUCAGCGAUGGGUAGCCGAGCUGAGAGGCUGAUCGGCCACACUGGAACUGAGACACGGUCCAGACUCCUACGGGAGGCAGCAGUGGGGAAUAUUGGGCAAUGGGGGAAACCCUGACCCAGCAACGCCGCGUGAGGGAAGAAGGCUUUCGGGUUGUAAACCUCUGUCGCAGGGGACGAAAAAAAUGACGGUACCCUGUGAGGAAGCCCCGGCUAACUACGUGCCAGCAGCCGCGGUAAUACGUAGGGGGCGAGCGUUGUCCGGAAUUACUGGGCGUAAAGGGUGCGUAGGCGGCUAUUUAAGUUGGAUGUGAAAUACCCGGGCUUAACUUGGGGGGUGCAUUCAAAACUGGAUGGCUAGAGUGCAGGAGAGGGAAGCGGAAUUCCUAGUGUAGCGGUGAAAUGCGUAGAUAUUAGGAGGAACACCAGUGGCGAAGGCGGCUUUCUGGACUGUAACUGACGCUGAUGCACGAAAGCGUGGGGAGCAAACAGNNUNAGAUACCCUGGUAGUNNNCGCUGUAAACGAUGAAUA